GUCAUUUAAUAAUUGAUAUCAGCUAGAAAAAAUGAUGUGUAAUGGGUGACUGUGUGGGAGAGGAAACUGCUCAAUCAUCCUGAGUAAGUUUCAGAAGUGAAGAUGGAACAGAAAAAUCAAACUAUGUGCAAGGCAUAUACGGAGACUGUGAGAAUGUGUCACUGAAAGUCCCGGAGAGAAAAACGCAGCAAGAUGCUGCCUGACCAUUGAGUUCCUCCAGCACUUUGGUAGUUGCUCCAGAUUCCAGCGUCUACAGUCUCUUGUGUCUCCAUCACACAGCUGUAUUGGAAUUAGUUGGAAUCAACUCUGGAUCCUGAAAAUUUUCAAGGAUGACAAAGAAUGAUGAAGAUGUGAUAUUCACUCACAGCUGAUCCAUCAGGAAAGGAUGCAAGUUGAAUGAGCUAAAUGAGGACAGAGGAGAUUUAAAAAAAUGCUGGAACUGUAGGUUACAAAACACUUCAACUUCAGGAAAUCUGAGAUGAAAGAGACUGCUAGAAAUAUCCAACUGGUGAGACAGCAUCCGUGAAGAGAGAAAACCCAAGGUGAAACUAUAGGUUGAUGACCUUUCAUCAGUUCUGACACAUAUUGGAGAGUAAAGGCGCAUAUAAAGGCACAUAAGUCUGGUUGCUUGAGGAUAUUGAGGCCCGAGAACUGUAAUUUUUCCUGUAACUUCUAUUUACUUCCCCUUUCUCUCACACUGAUAUAAAAUCUACAUCCCCUUGGGGACACAAGAGAUUUUAGAUGCUGGAAUCUGGAGCAAGAAAACAAGCUGCUGGAAGAAUUCAGGAAAUCAGGCAGCAUCUGUGGAGGCAAAAGGAUAGUGAAUGUUUCAGGUUGUGAUCCCACAUCAGGAUUGAGAGUGUAAAUGGGAUAGUUAUCCCCUUGCCUCCACAGAUGCUGCCUGACCUGCUGAGGUCCUUCAGCAACUUGCUUUUGCUACAUCCCUUUGACUCUAAUUGAUGGCCUUGUUAUUGAGCAACCCCUCCCUAUGUGCAGCAUUUGGGAAAGUGUUGGGGCAGGAUGAGAGAUGGUUAAAGACUUAAAUCUGGGGAACAUUUUCUCAAUCCAUCAUCCUACUUCCAGAUAUUGGAGUGUUCAACUAUUUAAUAAUGGAUGCUGUUUGUACGGCAACAAUUGGGAAAUUAAUUUUAAAAUGUACUGCAACUAUGCGGGUUUCCUGUGGAUCAGGAAACUUGGCAAUGAAAGGAAGGGAGGAAAUCCUGGCUCUAUUGUUUAAGUGCCAUCUCAGCUCUUCAUGUGGCUAAGCAUAGGAAUUAGAGUCACAAAGAGUCAUAGAGAGAUACAGAACUGAAAUCAGCCUGUGCUGAGCACCAACCAUCCAUUUACACUGAUCCCAUUUUGUUUAUUCUCCCCACAUUCUCAUAAAAUGUCCCCCCCCACCCUUUCAGAUUCUACACUGUCUAGUUACCUACAUAUCAGGGGCAAUUUACAGUGGACAAUUAAUCUGCACAUCUUUGGGAUUUGGAAGGAAACUGGAGCACCUGGAGGAAAUUUAUGCGGCCAUAGCGAGAAUGUGCAAACUCCACGCAGACAGCACUGGAGGUCAGUGUUGAACCUGGGUCACUGGAACUGCCUCACAAUUAAACAUCAAACCUCUUCCCUUCUCCAUAAUCCUGCCUCCUAAUCUCCUAAACCAGUGCCUCACAAUCAUCAAUAGGAACUUUUCCUUUCGCUUGAAACCACCCAUCAUUUAUACUAAGAAAAUGAAGAAUGGUGGAAGAUAAAACAGUUAAAUGUUAGCAAAAGAGAGCAGACUUUAGUGUGAUAUUGCAUCAUAAUUUUAAAUAGAAUAAGACCACAGUUCCAACUCACACCUGCAUUACACACUUCAUCCACAUUUAGCAGUGUGGUGCUUUCUUGCCUUUCAAUCUUCCAGAAAUCUGAUGGUUAUUGUAAACAAAAACAUAACAUAAAAGGCACUAGAUUUGUAAUUAUAUUUUAAAUUAAAAUAUACAUGUGGAUUAAAAAGAGCAGCAUUUCAUGUCUCUGUUGGACUCAGACACACUUUGUGUGUUGUGGAGCAGAGGGGGAAAGAACAAGACAGAUGACAUUGGGAUUCAGUGGGAAAAGGUCAAGGACAGAGCUGAAUACUGGCAAAAAAUGGAAAACUGAAGGAAAAGUGACAGCAGUAAGGGAAGUAUUAGUCUGUGGAAGAAUGGGGUAAGCUGCAGCUGACUAAGUGAAGGAAGUAAGAAAAAAGGCAGACAUGGAAAUAUCGAAAAAGAGUAGGAAAUUAGGUGCAGUAUUUUCAGAAUGCAUCGGGCCAGGAAGGAAUAAAACAACAGACACAUACCAUUAUUUUUGUUGAAAAAUAUUAAAUCGAAAUGUAUAAUCCCAUCUGUCAAAUCAAAUUCUCAUCAUGACACUAGUUAUACAAGGACAAACAUAAAAUUGCACAAACUCAAA
Pristis pectinata (smalltooth sawfish) is the source of this 2427-nucleotide long non-coding RNA. RefSeq lists it as uncharacterized. The record is from RefSeq and is a predicted model, not a curated record. Lineage: Eukaryota; Metazoa; Chordata; Chondrichthyes; Rhinopristiformes; Pristidae. The transcript is spliced from 3 exons.